This is a long non-coding RNA of Brassica oleracea var. oleracea, 1568 nucleotides long. RefSeq lists it as uncharacterized. Lineage: Eukaryota; Viridiplantae; Streptophyta; Magnoliopsida; Brassicales; Brassicaceae. The transcript is spliced from 4 exons. The record is from RefSeq and is a predicted model, not a curated record.
AAAUUAAAGCAAAAAAAAAAACAAAGCUUCACCCUUUACACUUCCACGAUUCUUUUAAUGCUUCCAAAACUCUACCAUCAAUUGUAACUCAUGAUUUAACUCUUCAAAUUUUUUGUACCAUAUAUUUAUUGUUCAGAUCUACUCUUCAUCUCGACAUAAAUCUCUGCAAAAUUACCUCUUACUCAAAGUUCCAAUAGAUAGACAGCAGCCGCUAGGGCUAGGAAUCACGAGUUUUCUUUUGUAAUGGAGAUUCGGUUGCGAAAUUGAGAAAUCUCUCAACGAAGCUGCACAAUCUGAUGACUGAGGAACUUUGAGAUGGUGCGUCUAGACGACGAUGAUGGAGCAAAUCAAAACUUACAUAGUGAAAACAGAUUGGCUUUCACAGUAAGCAUGUGGAUUUCAGACAUGUGGUAGAAUUUUAGCUGUGGGAAAUUCAAUCGAAAAGAUCAGAUAUCUAGAAAGUCCCCAAAGGCAGCUGUUGUCGCAGAUUGUGAACUCAUCUCUUAUAAAAGCAUACUUCCAACACAGUCCAUGUCCUUUUGUACCUUUGGUAUCUUCUACCAUAAUUCUUUGGUGAUUGCGCUUUUUGAUUCAAGAAGGAACAGAGACAACGCUUCUCCAAGGUUCCAUCUUUGUUCAUCGCCUUAACACUUUUAAACAUAUGCUGAAAGAGGGAGCUGUUUACAAGCUCAGUAGGUUUGAUGUUACCUGAGGAAGGUAACUGAACUGAUACCAUUUUAUCUUUGCAUAAUCAGUGAAUAAAACUGGUGUCUCAGACACUACUCUUAUUGACUUUCAAGAGGUAAGAAACUAUCUUUUACAUUGCUUCUUCCAUGUUCUUACUUACCCUCAAAAUGAUUUUAGGGAAACUCUAUCCUCUAGCUUCAUCAAGACCGUUUGAAUCUACUGCUUGCUUUAGCCAAAGAAUAUGAUGUUAACAGAGAGCAAGUCUAGAAACUCAUUAGGCAAUAUCUUGGGGUUGAGGAUGCACCCAGUAAAUCUUUUGUUUUUGUAUUUUGAUUGAUAUUCUUCAAUAGAUUUCUCUCGAUGAACGAGCGCUCUUUAGGUGACGAUGGAGAGGCUCAUUCUACAUAAUGAGGCUUUAUCUAUUGUUUACUAUCGCAUUGAGUGGAAUAUGAGACAUGCUCUGAAGCCUGCAUAUGAAACUCUCUUUGAGAUGUUAAAAUACUCAUCCUCGAGGGUUGCAUUUUUUUGUCCAUCCUAUGUGUUCAUCUUCAUUAGUCAUACUACAGAUGUGGCUUAGUCCUGCUUCUUUAAAGCUUGAUCAAAUCACUUGGGAUGAUCAUGAUUCCUUGCUUGAGAAAACUGUUGCUAAUGAGAUAUGUGAAAGUAUUUUCUAUUACAAUAAUAUCCAAAACAACUUCGGUUUUUUAUCUAACAUUCUCUUAUUUAUAAAGCGGUGCAACAAAUCAGCAACAUCUUCGAUCUUAAAAAAGAUUUGGAAUAGGGCCUUUAUGCUUUGGUUAUUAUCAUCCAUCUAUUCAUGGGCGGGGACAACAACCUAGGUGACGAUACGCCAGGAGCCUCAUGUGUGUCCUGCAUCUGCU